AUUGAACGCUGGCGGCAUGCUUUACACAUGCAAGUCGAACGGUAACAGGCCGCAAGGUGCUGACGAGUGGCGAACGGGUGAGUAAUGCAUCGGAACGUGCCCAGUCGUGGGGGAUAACUACUCGAAAGAGUAGCUAAUACCGCAUACGAUCUAUGGAUGAAAGCGGGGGACCGUAAGGCCUCGCGCGAUUGGAGCGGCCGAUGUCAGAUUAGGUAGUUGGUGGGGUAAAGGCUCACCAAGCCAACGAUCUGUAGCUGGUCUGAGAGGACGACCAGCCACACUGGGACUGAGACACGGCCCAGACUCCUACGGGAGGCAGCAGUGGGGAAUUUUGGACAAUGGGCGCAAGCCUGAUCCAGCAAUGCCGCGUGCAGGAAGGAGGCCUUCGGGUUGUAAACUGCUUUUGUACGGAACGAAACGGCUCUGGUUAAUACCCGGGGCUAAUGACGGUACCGUAAGAAUAAGCACCGGCUAACUACGUG
Molecule: ribosomal RNA, 482 nt
Filed under: uncultured bacterium
Lineage: Bacteria
Description: partial 16S ribosomal RNA
Rfam family: Bacterial small subunit ribosomal RNA
Source: RNAcentral